AUUGAACGCUGGCGGCAGGCCUAACACAUGCAAGUCGAGCGGAUGAAGGGAGCUUGCUCCUGGAUUCAGCGGCGGACGGGUGAGUAAUGCCUAGGAAUCUGCCUGGUAGUGGGGGAUAACGUCCGGAAACGGGCGCUAAUACCGCAUACGUCCCGAGGGAGAAAGUGGGGGAUCUUCGGACCUCACGCUAUCAGAUGAGCCUAGGUCGGAUUAGCUAGUUGGUGGGGUAAAGGCCUACCAAGGCGACGAUCCGUAACCGGUCUGAGAGGAUGAUCAGUCACACUGGAACUGAGACACGGUCCAGACUCCUACGGGAGGCAGCAGUGGGGAAUAUUGGACAAUGGGCGAAAGCCUGAUCCAGCCAUGCCGCGUGUGUGAAGAAGGUCUUCGGAUUGUAAAGCACUUUAAGUCGGGAGGAAGGGCAGUAAGUUAAUACCUUGCUGUUUUGACGUUACCAACAGAAUAAGCACCGGCUAACUUCGUG
RNAcentral lists this ribosomal RNA (484 nucleotides) under uncultured bacterium. Its description in RNAcentral is "partial 16S ribosomal RNA". It matches the Rfam family "Bacterial small subunit ribosomal RNA", at positions 30 to 507 of the family's 1533-position model. The record is from RNAcentral.